Molecule: ribosomal RNA, 495 nt
Filed under: uncultured bacterium
Lineage: Bacteria
Description: partial 16S ribosomal RNA
Rfam family: Bacterial small subunit ribosomal RNA
Source: RNAcentral
GACGAACGCUGGCGGCGUGCCUAAUACAUGCAAGUAGAACGCUGAAGGAGGAGCUUGCUUCUCUGGAUGAGUUGCGAACGGGUGAGUAACGCGUAGGUAACCUGCCUGGUAGCGGGGGAUAACUAUUGGAAACGAUAGCUAAUACCGCAUAAUAGCAGUUAUUGCAUGAUAACUGUUUGAAAGGUGCAAUUGCACCACUACCAGAUGGACCUGCGUUGUAUUAGCUAGUUGGUGGGGUAACGGCUCACCAAGGCGACGAUACAUAGCUGACCUGAGAGGGUGAUCGGCCACACUGGGACUGAGACACGGCCCAGACUCCUACGGGAGGCAGCAGUAGGGAAUCUUCGGCAAUGGACGGAAGUCUGACCGAGCAACGCCGCGUGAGUGAAGAAGGUUUUCGGAUCGUAAAGCUCUGUUGUAAGAGAAGAACGAGUGUGAGAGUGGAAAGUUCACACUGUGACGGUAUCUUACCAGAAAGGGACGGCUAACUACGUG